Molecule: long non-coding RNA, 508 nt
Organism: Cervus elaphus (red deer)
Lineage: Eukaryota; Metazoa; Chordata; Mammalia; Artiodactyla; Cervidae
Exons: 3
Source: RefSeq, a predicted model, not a curated record
GGUCAAGGUCACUGGUCGGCGUCCAGGUUUCCCCGCGGGAGCAGAGCCGGUCCCCGAGCCCCUCCGAGCGCAGCGCCGCCUGCCCGAGGUUAACGCAGGCGGUACGGAGGGAGCUGCCGUCCAGUCCAGUCGGCUCCGCCGCGCGGCUCCCCGUCAUGCUGGCAGUAACCUGAAGAAGACGUGGAGACAUUCCGGGGGUCCCAUCCUGGCCCACUGAUGUGUUUCUCUUCUCCAUCCUCCAUCACAGGUCAGUUAAAAGCUGCUGUGACCGCCUCCAGGGUUCAUAGCGGCUCUGUCCCCAGGAGCCAACAGGUAGAAGCACCCAAACGUCCAUCAGUGAGUGCCUGGCUACAGAAAUCGUGGUGCAUCCACACAGCGGAAUAUCCUUUGGCCACGAAAAGGGGUGAAGCCCUGACUCCUGCUACAACGUGAACCUCGAAAGCGCUGUCAAGUGAGAGGAGCCAGACACCAAGGGGCCCAGAGGGACGGUCCAGACCUGGCAGAGACA